GGAGAGGUGGCCGAGUGGUCGAAGGCGCACGCCUGGAAAGUGUGUAGGCGGGUAACUGUCUCCAGGGUUCGAAUCCCUGUCUCUCCGCCA
RNAcentral lists this transfer RNA (90 nucleotides) under Pseudovibrio sp. Tun.PSC04-5.I4. RNAcentral describes it as "tRNA_Ser_GGA". It matches the Rfam family "tRNA". From Rfam's summary of the family: Transfer RNA (tRNA) molecules are approximately 80 nucleotides in length. Their secondary structure includes four short double-helical elements and three loops (D, anti-codon, and T loops). Further hydrogen bonds mediate the characteristic L-shaped molecular structure. tRNAs have two regions of fundamental functional importance: the anti-codon, which is responsible for specific mRNA codon recognition, and the 3' end, to which the tRNAs corresponding amino acid is attached (by aminoacyl-tRNA synthetases). tRNAs cope with the degeneracy of the genetic code in two manners: having more than one tRNA (with a specific anti-codon) for a particular amino acid; and 'wobble' base-pairing, i.e. permitting non-standard base-pairing at the 3rd anti-codon position. The record is from RNAcentral. Lineage: Bacteria; Pseudomonadati; Pseudomonadota; Alphaproteobacteria; Hyphomicrobiales; Stappiaceae.